UCCUGUGUUGGUUGCCUAAUGUAAGGCAAAUUGACCCUCGAUGAGUCCCUAAUCUUUGCCUCYCACCAAUUCGUGGUGUUAGGUUGACGUGGAAGUACUACCCGUUCUCCUUGAAUGCUUGGCCGAGUGGCCUUGCAUUCAUGGCCCAUGGGCGGCUACAAGUUCCCUCGGAUGCAGAACUUUUGAAGGGUGCAUAGCAUGUGUUGCUGUUGCUUACCCACGGAGCGUUCAUGUCUCGAUGCGUACGACUUCCGUGCUUGCCUUAGUCCUGUCUUUAACUUGUUUGGACGGGGCUCACGCAAUGCCGGUGUCCCGAAGGAAUGCUACCUGGUUGAUCCUGCCAGUAGUCAUAUGCUUGUCUCAA
This 364-nucleotide unclassified non-coding RNA is filed under the name Labatia petiolata. Its description in RNAcentral is "Pouteria petiolata partial contains external transcribed spacer and 18S ribosomal RNA". The record is from RNAcentral. Lineage: Eukaryota; Viridiplantae; Streptophyta; Magnoliopsida; Ericales; Sapotaceae.